This 274-nucleotide ribosomal RNA is filed under the name uncultured bacterium. RNAcentral's name for it is "partial 16S ribosomal RNA". It matches the Rfam family "Bacterial small subunit ribosomal RNA", at positions 523 to 796 of the family's 1533-position model. The record is from RNAcentral.
AUACGGAGGGUGCAAGCGUUACUCGGAAUCACUGGGCGUAAAGCGCGCGCAGGCGGCUUGAUAAGUUGGAUGUGAAAGCCUACGGCUCAACCGUAGAACUGCAUCCAAAACUGUCAGUCUAGAGUGUGGGAGAGGAAGAUGGAAUUAGUUGUGUAGGGGUAAAAUCCGUAGAGAUAACUAGGAAUACCAAAAGCGGAGGCAAUCUUCUGGAACACUACUGACGCUGAGGCGCGAAAGCGUGGGGAGCAAACAGGAUUAGAAACCCCGGUAGUCC